RNAcentral lists this ribosomal RNA (253 nucleotides) under uncultured bacterium. RNAcentral's name for it is "partial 16S ribosomal RNA". It matches the Rfam family "Bacterial small subunit ribosomal RNA", at positions 524 to 776 of the family's 1533-position model. The record is from RNAcentral.
UACAGAGGUGGCAAGCGUUGUUCGGAAUUACUGGGCGUAAAGGGCGCGUAGGCGGUCUUGUAAGUCUUGUGUGAAAUCCCUCGGCUUAACUGAGGAACUGCACGGGAUACUGCGAGACUUGAGAUCGGGAGAGGGAAGCGGAAUUCCGGGUGUAGCGGUGAAAUGCGUAGAUAUCCGGAGGAACACCAGUGGCGAAGGCGGCUUCCUGGCCUGUUCUUGACGCUGAGGCGCGAAAGCUAGGGGAGCAAACGGG